AACGAACGCUGGCGGCAGGCUUAACACAUGCAAGUCGAGCGCCCCGCCAGGGGAGCGGCCGCCGGGUGCGUAACGCGUGGGAACGUACCUUUUGGUUCGGAACAACUCCGGGAAACUGGAGCUAAUACCGGAUAAGCCCUAACGUGGAAAGAUUUAUCGCCGAAAGAUCGGCCCGCGUCUGAUUAGCUAGUUGGUGAGGUAACGGCUCACCAAGGCGACGAUCAGUAGCUGGUCUGAGAGGAUGAUCAGCCACACUGGGACUGAGACACGGCCCAGACUCCUACGGGAGGCAGCAGUGGGGAAUAUUGGACAAUGGGCGCAAGCCUGAUCCAGCCAUGCCGCGUGAGUGAUGAAGGCCUUAGGGUUGUAAAGCUCUUUUGUCCGGGAAGAUAAUGACUGUACCGGAAGAAUAAGCCCCGGCUAACUUCGUG
Molecule: ribosomal RNA, 431 nt
Filed under: uncultured bacterium
Lineage: Bacteria
Description: partial 16S ribosomal RNA
Rfam family: Bacterial small subunit ribosomal RNA
Source: RNAcentral